UACGAAGGGGGCUAGCGUUGCUCGGAAUCACUGGGCGUAAAGGGUGCGUAGGCGGGUCUUUAAGUCAGGGGUGAAAUCCUGGAGCUCAACUCCAGAAUUGCCUUUGAUACUGAAGAUCUUGAGUUCGGGAGAGGUGAGUGGAACUGCGAGUGUAGAGGUGAAAUUCGUAGAUAUUCGCAAGAACACCAGUGGCGAAGGCGGCUCACUGGUCCAUUACUGACGCUGAGGUGCGAAAGCGUGGGGAGCAAACAGG
Molecule: ribosomal RNA, 253 nt
Filed under: uncultured bacterium
Lineage: Bacteria
Description: partial 16S ribosomal RNA
Rfam family: Bacterial small subunit ribosomal RNA
Source: RNAcentral